UUUUAAAUUGACGAGGAACCGCACUAAAAAAGGAACUCCAGAGGGCUUUGUAAGAAAUGAAUUGACAGAUUCAGAUGAAGAGAACAUCAGGGGUGUCAAGCUGCCCAAAUACCCCACUGCACCAAAAAAGCUGUGGUCCAUUCAAG
Polypterus senegalus (gray bichir) is the source of this 146-nucleotide long non-coding RNA. RefSeq lists it as uncharacterized. Lineage: Eukaryota; Metazoa; Chordata; Cladistia; Polypteriformes; Polypteridae. The record is from RefSeq and is a predicted model, not a curated record. The transcript has 3 exons.